CAAAGGAAGCGAUUCCGGCAACGGAUGGGCAUGCGUGACAUUAGCUAGUUGGCGGGGCAACGGCCCACCAAGGCGACGAUGUCUAGGGGUUCUGAGAGGAAGGUCCCCCACACUGGUACUGAGACACGGACCAGACUCCUACGGGAGGCAGCAGUGAGGGAUAUUGGUCAAUGGGCGCGAGCCUGAACCAGCCAAGUCGCGUGAGGGAUGACGGCCCUACGGGUUGUAAACCUCUUUUGUCGGGGAGCAAAUUCCGCCACGCGUGGCGGAGUCGAGAGUACCCGAAGAAAAAGCAUCGGCUAACUCCGUGCCAGCAGCCGCGGUAAUACGGAGGAUGCGAGCGUUAUCCGGAUUUAUUGGGUUUAAAGGGUGCGUAGGCGGACUGUCAAGUCAGCGGUAAAAUACGGGGGCUCAACCUCCGCCCGCCGUUGAAACUGACGGUCUUGAGUGGGCGAGAAGUAUGCGGAAUGCGUGGUGUAGCGGUGAAAUGCAUAGAUAUCACGCAGAACUCCGAUUGCGAAGGCAGCAUACCGGCGCCCAACUGACGCUGAAGCACGAAAGCGUGGGUAUCGAACAGGAUUAGAUACCCUGGUAGUCCACGCAGUAAACGAUGAAUGCUAGCUGUCCGGGGCGAAUGGGCCCUGG
This 645-nucleotide ribosomal RNA is filed under the name uncultured bacterium. RNAcentral describes it as "bacterial SSU rRNA". It matches the Rfam family "Bacterial small subunit ribosomal RNA", at positions 202 to 842 of the family's 1533-position model. The record is from RNAcentral.